AAGAUGUUAGUAAAACAUAAUUACACUACCUUGUCAAGGCAGAAUUACUGGUUAAAAUCCUGUACAUCUUA
Molecule: transfer RNA, 71 nt
Filed under: Aphanotorulus emarginatus
Lineage: Eukaryota; Metazoa; Chordata; Actinopteri; Siluriformes; Loricariidae
Description: tRNA-Asp
Rfam family: tRNA
About the family: Transfer RNA (tRNA) molecules are approximately 80 nucleotides in length. Their secondary structure includes four short double-helical elements and three loops (D, anti-codon, and T loops).
Source: RNAcentral